RNAcentral lists this long non-coding RNA (236 nucleotides) under Setaria viridis. RNAcentral's name for it is "long non-coding RNA (SVIR_LNC003139)". Lineage: Eukaryota; Viridiplantae; Streptophyta; Magnoliopsida; Poales; Poaceae. The record is from RNAcentral.
UUAGGUUUGCCAUGCAUGGUUAAUAAAUUCGAAUCGAUUCGUCUGCCUCUCACAGAUUGGGACUACUUGAUCGCUAUUCUGCACUAAGUAAAGAUGGAACAUGAUGAUGAUUUUAAUCUUGAUGGUUGUCAAAUAAUUGCUUGGAAACCAUGUUUGUUUAGUAUAAGUUGCUAAUCUAGAAUGGAUAAAGAACAUAGAACAUGAGCUAAAAGGUGAAAGUAAGGACUAACUUAGAC